GCACUUGUUCAAAACAAUAUAUAUAUUUUUUUUGAGAGAUAGGUAGCACGCUAUCAGUUUCGUUUAUUUCAUUUAGAAAUAAACUUUGCUGGAAAUAUGAAUAAAUUAGGAUUCAAACUUGAGAUCUCGGGUACCAACCAUUAAGCUCUUUGCCACUUGCUAUAGGGACGGUCGGUAAAAUAAUAUUAUUCUAUAUGAAAAAACUUUAUAUUUGGAGUAUUUGA
This 224-nucleotide long non-coding RNA is filed under the name Ananas comosus (pineapple). RNAcentral describes it as "long non-coding RNA (ACOM_LNC025600)". The record is from RNAcentral. Lineage: Eukaryota; Viridiplantae; Streptophyta; Magnoliopsida; Poales; Bromeliaceae.